AGGACGAACGCUGGCGGCGUGCUUAACACAUGCAAGUCGAGCGAGGCCCCUUUCUUCGGAGAGGGAGCCCUAGCGGCGAACGGGUGAGUAACACGUGAGCAAUCUGCCCCUAGCUCUGGGAUAGCUCCGGGAAACCGGGAUUAAUACCAGAUAUUACUACGGCCGACAUCAGCUGUGGUGGAAAGAAUUUCGGCUAGGGAUGAGCUCGCGGCCUAUCAGCUUGUUGGUGGGGUAAAGGCCCACCAAGGCGACGACGGGUA
Molecule: ribosomal RNA, 260 nt
Filed under: uncultured bacterium
Lineage: Bacteria
Description: partial small subunit ribosomal RNA
Rfam family: Bacterial small subunit ribosomal RNA
Source: RNAcentral